Molecule: long non-coding RNA, 284 nt
Filed under: Homo sapiens (human)
Lineage: Eukaryota; Metazoa; Chordata; Mammalia; Primates; Hominidae
Description: HSALNT0213662
Source: RNAcentral
UAAAAGUUGAUACAGUAUGGAGGAAAGGUGUGACCCUUUCUGCAGAUGUGAGAGUUCCCUAAAUGAUUCUCUGGGAUCAUGGGAAAAUACUCAUAAUAAUGGCCAUAGAUUUUUGGUUGUGAGGGAGUCAGACAAGAACAUCAAUGGGUUUGAGGUGUUAAAUUCUUCAAGCUCUCCCAUUGCCUGAGUAUCAUAGUCACAUUUGUACCUUGGAAGUCUCCCUUUGGGAUCAGCAUGUAGGAUGGAUUUAAGCGAAUUGGACUGGAGGGCCUCCAGCCAUUGUA